RNAcentral lists this ribosomal RNA (459 nucleotides) under uncultured bacterium. RNAcentral's name for it is "bacterial SSU rRNA". It matches the Rfam family "Bacterial small subunit ribosomal RNA", at positions 48 to 491 of the family's 1533-position model. The record is from RNAcentral.
UAACCACAUGCAAGUCGAACGCGUCUUGGGGGGCAACUCCUGAGGUGAGUGGCGAACGGGUGAGUAACACGUGAGUAAUCUACCCUCGAGUGAGGAAUAACCCCGCGAAAGCGGAGCUAAUACUGCAUAAUACUCUGGAGCGUAAGCUUUCAGAGUCAAAGCUUUCCGAGCAAUCGGACAGCGCUUGAGGAUGAGUUUGCGGCCUAUUAGCUUGUUGGUGAGGUAACGGCUCACCAAGGCAAAGAUGGGUAGCCGGCUUGAGAGGGUGUACGGCCCCACUGGUACUGAGACACGGACCAGACUCCUACGGGAGGCAGCAGUGGGGAAUAUUGGUCAAUGGGUGCAAACCUGAACCAGCCAUUCCGCGUGGAGGAUGAAUGUCUUACGGAUUGUAAACUCCUUUUCUACAGAAAGAAUUUCCCGAUUUCGUAUCGGGAUGGACGUACUGUGGGAAUAAGC